GCCGGGCAUGGUGGUGCAUGCCUGUAAUCCCAGCUACUUGGGAGGCUGAGGCAAGAGAAUUGCUUGAACCCAGGAGGUAGAGGUUGCAGUGAGCUAAGAUCGCACCACUGCACUCCAGCCUGGGUGACAGAGCAAGACUCUGUCUCAA
Molecule: unclassified non-coding RNA, 148 nt
Organism: Pongo abelii (Sumatran orangutan)
Lineage: Eukaryota; Metazoa; Chordata; Mammalia; Primates; Hominidae
Rfam family: Metazoan signal recognition particle RNA
About the family: The signal recognition particle (SRP) is a universally conserved ribonucleoprotein. It is involved in the co-translational targeting of proteins to membranes.
Source: Ensembl